Ictidomys tridecemlineatus (thirteen-lined ground squirrel) is the source of this 72-nucleotide non-coding RNA. Lineage: Eukaryota; Metazoa; Chordata; Mammalia; Rodentia; Sciuridae. The record is from Rfam.
GGCGAUGUAGCUCAGUGGUGGAGCACUCGCCUAGCACAUGCGGGGCCCUGGGUUCAAUCCUCAGCAUCACGU